This is a long non-coding RNA of Nothoprocta perdicaria, 480 nucleotides long. RefSeq lists it as uncharacterized. NCBI's taxonomy places the organism in Eukaryota, Metazoa, Chordata, Aves, Tinamiformes, Tinamidae. The transcript is spliced from 3 exons. The record is from RefSeq and is a predicted model, not a curated record.
UAGCCACAAUAACUAGCCCGCUCAGCCUGAUGCCAGCUCGAUCGGCUGGUUUAAGUUAUAGUCAGAUAAUGGCCAUAUUUCAUAUAAACCUAAAGUGGGGAGUUUUCUGGUGUAUUUAGUGCAGUGACAGCGUCCGCUGAGCCAGCUGGGACACGCUACGUCACUCAGACAAACAGCAAAGCUGUAGAGAACCUGCCUUAUAGCUUUUAAUAUCAGACCAUGCUCCUCUGUAAAGCUUCUGGAAAGCAAUUGAACUUUCUGGUUCAGAAAAUACCAAAAUACCUGCUACAAGGAAAUCAUAGCAUCUGAAGAUCACAUCUGAUCAGCUGCUGCAUUUGGGAAAAAAAUGAGCUCAAGACUAGACGGAAGGUUGAAAACAGGAAUAUCAAGAUCAGGAUUUUCUGCUCUGCCUCACUGGAGUUUCCCUGCAAGAUCCGCCUCGCUCGCUUUUUGGCGUCUUCUGGAAAACUUGGGCUGUCC